UUGCGACGCAGGGAGCGGCUGACGUUCUGCGUGGGGUACCCCAGGAGCUGGGUGACGCGGGUGCCGCGCCCGCUGGCCUUGUACCCGGGCGCCAAGGCGUCCUCUCUGUGGAAAACAACAGGCGGGCGGAUUCUAUAAAUGUCUAACAGACCUCAGAGACUUACAUUUCCCUGGUUGGAGGAGACUGAGAUCAUUGGAAACAUACAUGAAACAGAACAUCAAAAGGAGAGGCCUAGAGGAACGGAAAGAGACAGAGAAGAGAUAUGGGGAGGCAAGACAAGGGACCAGAGACCCCCAGAGCAAGCUUUCCAGAUGGGAUGGACUAGACACUGGCACACAGCUGCACCACGCUAGCACCAGGACCCUGCUCUGAGUAUCAGAGAGCCAGGGUGCUUGACUCAUAGCACUGGAGGAUGGACUCUCCCUGUGCCAGGAGGAGGUGAGCCAGCCAAAGUUCUCAUUUUCUGCUCUGAUGAAGAUUGAAGGGGCCUGGGCGACCUGCAAUGUCUCUGUUCACAGAUCUCACCGUCUCCUGUGAGGAACCCCAGAUACCAAGAUGAGAGACUGAACAGAGGAAGAUGGUGCCAGAGGGGGAGAGGCUCAGAGGGAACCCAACUCUGCCAGGGCCUCCUAGAUGCCUUAAGGCUGGCCAGUAGGAAAAAGUGCAUGUCUGAGAGGGGUGACUUACGUGCAGAGCUGGGGAGACCAGGCUUGCUAUAUGACUUUCCUGGGAAAGACAGUCCUCUAAAAUAGGUAAGGGAUGUUUUUUGGUGUCUGCACAUAUCAACUAAAUAGAUGAUGCUGGUAGCCACCAGCAGAAGGGUGCCAGCCUCCCUGACAGUACUGCCUUGCCUUCUCUCUCAUCCACAGUUACGUGCUACAUACUUUCAAGAGCUUUGGAGGAGGGUUUACUAGGUAAAAGAUUGCACUUACGACUACAGGGCCAUGACGGUGAGAAAGGGUCCCCCCUACAAAUACAGGUGUACUACCCAAGUGGUUGGGGAGAUACAUUAUCUAGUGGAGAAGAUGGAGGGGACACCUGGGGCAGUGCACAGGCCUGAGGAAAAGGAAGCACAGGAAGCAGCUUGCUGACUCUCCUGAGCCCUAUGAAAAGAGGACUCUUGCCCCGGGGCCCUUGUAACCUGGCACUGUAAACAUCUAGGACGCUUCAAGCCACUGUCCCCUGCCUCCUCCAGUGCAGGCUACAUUCAGGAAGACAACAUGAGAAAUAUGAGAAAUGGAGUAAACUCCAGGGGUUAGAGAGUAGGGAGGCAGGAGCACCCUAGGGGAGUCAGUUGGAAGCUCCUCUCCCCCAGGGCAUUCAAAUAACGGAAGUGACUCCAAUAUUGCAAGCUGGUACUCCUGCCCCAAAUGGGAGGCUGCAACCUGGGCCUUUCAGGGAAAAAAAAAAAAAAAGGCUAAGACUAUUCUACAGGUGCAUUAAAUUUGAAGGGAGUAUUUGGGAGCAGCCUGGCACAAACCAGAGGUUUCCAGGAGAAGGGGCAAGGCCUGCUGUAGUCACUGCGUGCCCAGAGGGUAACUGGCACAUGGCAGGCACUCAGUAAAGACCUGAGUUUGUGAAUGGGUCCAUAAGGAACAGUUUGGGGCAGAGUGAGGAAAGUUACAACAAAUAAAGGCACUUUGGGGACCCCCUACUUAUGGGGACUGACGUGAGCCAGGCCAUGUAAAUGAGGGGGCAGCUGUGUUCAGGCAAGGAGCUGGGCCCCAGGAGUGUCCUGGUCUGUGCAGCAGAACUACCUGGAGUUGAGGAGAGCUGAGACAGGAGCAGUGAGCCACAGGCUCCAACAGUGCCCCUCCGCAGGUGUGCUCUGAAUCACAGCCCAGAGCCCAGGAAGAGAUGUGUCUUGGCUGGCCUCAUCCUCCUAGCUCCACCCACCAGCCCUGGCUCUGAUCCGCCCCCACUGGCUCCAUCUCAGUGCCCCAAGAUGCCUCUGAGCCAAGUGUAAGGGAGGUGCAGAGCAGGUGCAGAGACAAAAGGGCUCAAAGUAGACACCUCACACACCACUCCGGGACAAAGCGCCAACCCCACUUAGGAGGGACCAUCAUGAGACAGCUUCCUCCUGUCCCCUGCCCCUGUGUAUCACACACCCAUGAUAAGGUGCCCGGAAUAUGUUUUAUUCCAUCUUCACUGCCCUGUGGCAGCUGUAUCCCCACAAGAAAACCGAGUAGUUCUUUAGAGAAGUAGAAUAGAUUUAAUCUGUAACUAUGAAAUGCCUAGGUUAGCAGCAAUUGUGGACACCCAGAGACUGGGCAGAAUCUGUCCCCUCAAAGGCACCCUGAGGCCCCUGAAGGCUCCCCUUUCAGUUCACAGAGCUGCUGGUUGGACCUUAGCUUUGCGCUCGGCUUCAAUGCAGUACUUCUCAGGAAGACCGGAGGCUCUGCAGGAGGGAAAAUGCAGGGCAGGCGUAAGGAAGCGGCUGGACAUCAUUCUCUUUGGGGAAGGGGAGAAGUGCCAGGGAAGAAGGGGUCCAGUGUACCUCAGCUCUUCAAGUUUCUUCUUCUUGAUGUCAUUAAUGCGCUCCUGCCGCUUCUGGGCCUCCUCUUUGAGGCGCCGGCCCUCCUCGAAGGUGGCGAUCGGGUUCUGCACCUGCUUCUGCUGGUUCUCACGCACCUGGCGCCGGAGCUCGUUGGCAUGCUGCAAGCGCCCUGUGGCCUUUUUCUCCUCCUCCAGCCGCUCCUUCUCAAUCUGCUCUCUCUGAGCCCUGAGGAAUGGAAUGGGCCAGGAGUAGAAUGGGCUGGGCUGCACCAACCCUACAGAAGAAAGGCUAGGAGCUGGCUGGGUAGCCCCUCCUUGGGGCCAUGCUGUGGAGACCACGCAGCCCAGGCUCUUCUGCAGCUCAAGGGUCAGCCCAAAGGUGGUCACAUGUGCUCCCUCCUCCCUCAACCAACGCUAGCCUUGUGGGCAUGCCACUGUGUGUCCUAGCAGCUCGAAAGGACCCCAGGCUGGGUUAACGUUCUGCUGUCUGUGGUGUUGAAAUUCUUUAACAAGGAGCUCCACAGUCCAAGUUUUCACUGGGCUUUGCAAAUUGUGUAGCUGGUUCUACAACCAGGAUUUCACGCACUGGGGGUUAUUUUUGCUACUCUUCCUUAACAAUUCGUAGCUGCUCUCCAGCUUGUUCUAAAGCUUACUUCCCCCUCCUUCCAUCCUUCCUUCCCUUCCUUCAUUCUGAAAACAGAAAAUAAAGGGACAAAGGGCAAAGGCCUGAGCAAAACUAAAUAAACUAAGUAAACGAACAGCAAGUUGAGGAAAAGCCUCAAAGGAAGCUAUGGGCGCAGCAGCGAAGCUGCCUACAGUUUGCAUGUACUCCGCCCUUUUUCCUGCCCGCCUGGAUUUGGAUGCUUCCUCGGUAUCCUCUUGUCCUCCACAUAUAGCAAUGGCUUUGUUUUUUGCUCUUUCUAAUAAACACACCUGGUCCUUCC
Long non-coding RNA from Cavia porcellus (domestic guinea pig), 3441 nucleotides. RefSeq lists it as uncharacterized. The transcript is spliced from 6 exons. Lineage: Eukaryota; Metazoa; Chordata; Mammalia; Rodentia; Caviidae. The record is from RefSeq and is a predicted model, not a curated record.